CGAACCUAGCAGAACACCAGAUGUCCAGAUGUAGUGAUCAAUUUUCUAGGCUUUUGCUUCUAGCUUUAGUCAUCAUAUUAGAGCCUUUACCUUUACAUUUUCCUCAUUGAUUCAACCUUCCAGGUUCCAGCAUAGUGAGUAUCACAUAUCACCUUCCUAUGACGUAGCGUUCAGUUUUCAUCUUUGAUUCUGAAAUUUUAGUUGGUUCAACUUCAGAGGGGAAUAACAAUGGGAUUUGAGUCGACAAUGGAUGCAAAGCCUAGGGCCACCCCUGUACCAGCACAUUAUGUAUCCCUCAUUCCCUCCUAAUCUUCCCAUUGUUAUGUACUGAACUUUGCUUGCUUCGUCCAUAGCAAUUAGUUAAACAUCAUGUUCGAUAUAAGUGUUUCAACUGUUGAAGGAAUCAGGAUUGACUGUAAGCAAACAAACCAGCCCUGAAAUUCGCCCCUACUUAGGAGUCACAACCACUAGGGUAUGAACCCUUUUGCGGUGGUUGUGUGAGUCAUGGGGGGAGUUCUUAUGUCGAGAAUCAUCUGGCUGAUAUAUGAGCUAGAAGAAAGUCAAAAGUGCUAAUUGACAUUGGAGAGGAGGAAAAGCAAUAUGCUUUCUGCCGCCACAGUGAGAAGCAAGCUAUUGCAUGGAAGGAUGCCACACUCUGCGAACUUACUGAUCUUAUAUCUGCAUUCACCACCAUCAUUGGUCCAUUGCCUAGACUGGCAGGAGGCACGCCAAAACCAAGUGACCAGCGAUCAAGUUGAUGGUUGUCUGUUCUUCAAUCUCCACGGCGCAUCCCAUCUCCAAAGCAAGGCUUGUUUGAAGGAGGUGAUGGCAUGACGAUGUCCCUGCAAGGCAUUGUUGUCCACAAUUGGUCUGAUCCCCUCCUGCUCUCCAUAGGUAACUAAUCCACAAUUGCGUGGAUUGGUUAGCAAGUGUUGUGUCCACGAGUGAGAUCCGGCACAUGGACUAUCUGUGCAGGCACAACCUCUCUAUGUGAGUUUUGUUUCCCUAGCUUCUUUCCCAGCUGUUGAUCGGAAUAGCAAUAUUAGGUACUGGCAUUGAUUUAUGUAGAUCUAGAAUGCCUACAUUGACAUUUAUAUAUUCAGUGUUGAUAUGAUGUACAUUGUAGCCUUCCAAGAUUUUGAUUUUGAUCACAAAUAUUUUUGUA
This is a long non-coding RNA of Panicum hallii, 1165 nucleotides long. RefSeq lists it as uncharacterized. Lineage: Eukaryota; Viridiplantae; Streptophyta; Magnoliopsida; Poales; Poaceae. The transcript has 3 exons. The record is from RefSeq and is a predicted model, not a curated record.